GGAGAUCAACUAAAUAAAUGUAUAUACUAUAUAUCAAAUGUAAACAGUCAAAUGUAAACAGUACGUGUCAAGGAGAGGUCGAGUUCAUGUACUACCAUCCGAUUCCUGAUACAAACACUACGGGAAACACUAAAGUCGCCGAGUGUAAUUUUUUCGCCAAGUGUAUUAUUGCGGGCACUCGGCGAAGGCCGCGUUUGCUGAG
RNAcentral lists this long non-coding RNA (202 nucleotides) under Setaria viridis. RNAcentral's name for it is "long non-coding RNA (SVIR_LNC011231)". The record is from RNAcentral. Lineage: Eukaryota; Viridiplantae; Streptophyta; Magnoliopsida; Poales; Poaceae.